This 379-nucleotide ribosomal RNA is filed under the name uncultured eukaryote. Its description in RNAcentral is "partial 18S ribosomal RNA". It matches the Rfam family "Eukaryotic small subunit ribosomal RNA", at positions 592 to 976 of the family's 1831-position model. The record is from RNAcentral.
CAAUAGCGUAUAUUAAAGUUGUUGUGGUUAAAAAGCUCGUAGUUGAACCUUGGGCCUGGCCGUCCGGUCCGCCUCACCGCGUGUACUGGCUCGGCCGGGCCUUUCCCUCUGUGGAACCCCAUGCCCUUCACUGGGCGUGGCGGGGAAACAGGACUUUUACUGUGAAAAAAUUAGAGUGCUCCAGGCAGGCCUAUGCUCGAAUACAUUAGCAUGGAAUAAUAGAAUAGGACGUGUGGUUCUAUUUUGUUGAUUUCUAGGACCGCCGUAAUGAUUAAUAGGGACAGUCGGGGGCAUCAGUAUUCAAUUGUCAGAGGUGAAAUUCUUGGAUUUAUUGAAGACUAACUACUGCGAAAGCAUUUGCCAAGGAUGUUUUCAUUAA